UACGUAGGUGGCGAGCGUUGUCCGGAUUUACUGGGCGUAAAGGGAGCGUAGGCGGACUUUUAAGUGAGAUGUGAAAUACUCGGGCUCAACUUGAGUGCUGCAUUUCAAACUGGAAGUCUAGAGUGCAGGAGAGGAGAAUGGAAUUCCUAGUGUAGCGGUGAAAUGCGUAGAGAUUAGGAAGAACACCAGUGGCGAAGGCAGCGUACCGGCAUCCAACUGACGCUGAGGCACGAAAGCGUGGGGAUCAAACAGG
Molecule: ribosomal RNA, 253 nt
Filed under: uncultured bacterium
Lineage: Bacteria
Description: partial 16S ribosomal RNA
Rfam family: Bacterial small subunit ribosomal RNA
Source: RNAcentral